This 503-nucleotide ribosomal RNA is filed under the name uncultured bacterium. Its description in RNAcentral is "bacterial SSU rRNA". It matches the Rfam family "Bacterial small subunit ribosomal RNA", at positions 29 to 517 of the family's 1533-position model. The record is from RNAcentral.
AGUGAACGCUGGCGGCGUGCUUAACACAUGCAAGUCGAACGAGAACGGGUUAUAGCUUGCUAUAAUUGUCAGCUAAGUGGCGCACGGGUGAGUAAUGUAUAGGUAAUAUGCCUCUUACUAAGGGAUAACAAAUGGAAACGUUUGCUAAUACCUUAUACUCCUUAUUAACUAAAGUUAGUAAGGGAAAGAUUUAUUGGUAAGAGAUUAGCCUGUAUUGUAUCAGUUAGUUGGUGGGGUAAUGGCCUACCAAGCCGACGAUCUGUAGCUGGUCUGAGAGGACGACCAGCCACACUGGGACUGAGACACGGCCCAGACUCCUACGGGAGGCAGCAGUGGGGAAUUUUGGGACAAUGGACGCAAGUCUGAUCCAGCAAUGCCGCGUGCAGGACGAAGGCCUUCGGGUUGUAAACUGCUUUGUACAGAACGAAAAGGCUCUGGUUAAUACCUGGGGCUCAUGACGGUACUGUAAGAAUAAGCACCGGCUAACUACGUGCCAGCAGCCG